This 71-nucleotide transfer RNA is filed under the name Mugil liza (liza mullet). RNAcentral's name for it is "tRNA-Pro". It matches the Rfam family "tRNA". Rfam says of the family: Transfer RNA (tRNA) molecules are approximately 80 nucleotides in length. Lineage: Eukaryota; Metazoa; Chordata; Actinopteri; Mugiliformes; Mugilidae. The record is from RNAcentral.
CAGAGAGUAGUUUUAAUGUAAAAUCCUGGCUUUGGGAGCCAGGGAUGUAGGUUAAAAUCCUCCCUCUUUGA